GGAGUCGGCCCGACAGUCGCUCCGGUGUUAACUGCAUAGCUCUCUUGAGUGCUGUGUGGUGCAUCGGGGAGGAAAGUCCGGGCUCCAUAGAGCAGAGCGCCAGGUAACGCCUGGGAGGCGUGAGCCUACGGAAAGUGCAACAGAGAGCAGACCGCCUAAGUGCUCGCAAGAGCAACGGUAAGGGUGAAAGGGUGCGGUAAGAGCGCACCGCGCAACUGGCAACAGGCUGCGGCAUGGUAAACCCCGCUCGGAGCAAGACCAAAUAGGCCCUCAAUGAUGCGGCUCGUAUCGAGGGCGGGUAGGUUGCUUGAGGCUAAGGGUGACCUUAGUCCCAGAUGAAUGACUGUCCACGACAGAACCCGGCUUAUCGGCUGACUCCGACU
Cellvibrio sp. BR is the source of this 383-nucleotide non-coding RNA. The record is from Rfam. Lineage: Bacteria; Pseudomonadati; Pseudomonadota; Gammaproteobacteria; Cellvibrionales; Cellvibrionaceae.